GCUAGCUUGGCAGAAUUAUGCAUAAGACUUAGGAUCUUAUUAAAACCAUUGAUAGGUUAGAUAGUACC
This 68-nucleotide transfer RNA is filed under the name Cerion watlingense. RNAcentral describes it as "tRNA-Leu". Lineage: Eukaryota; Metazoa; Mollusca; Gastropoda; Stylommatophora; Cerionidae. RNAcentral also lists the same sequence under 1 other name. The record is from RNAcentral.